UUAGGAGCUAGCCGUCGAAGGUGGGACAAAUGAUUGGGGUGAAGUCGUAACAAGGUAGCCGUAUCGGAAGGUGCGGCUGGAUCACCUCCUUUCUAAGGA
RNAcentral lists this ribosomal RNA (99 nucleotides) under Staphylococcus aureus. RNAcentral describes it as "partial 16S ribosomal RNA". It matches the Rfam family "Bacterial small subunit ribosomal RNA", at positions 1442 to 1533 of the family's 1533-position model. Lineage: Bacteria; Bacillati; Bacillota; Bacilli; Caryophanales; Staphylococcaceae. The record is from RNAcentral.